Molecule: ribosomal RNA, 375 nt
Filed under: uncultured organism
Description: partial 16S ribosomal RNA
Rfam family: Bacterial small subunit ribosomal RNA
Source: RNAcentral
GUAGGAGGCAAGCGUUGUCCGGAAUUAUUGGGCGUAAAGCGCGCGCAGGCGGGGUCCUUUAAGUCUGAUGUGAAAGCCCACGGGCUCAACCGUGGAGGGUCAUUGGAAACUGGGGGACUUGAGUACAGAAGAGGAAAGCGGAAUUCCAAGUGUAGCGGUGAAAUGCGUAGAGAUUUGGAGGAACACCAGUGGCGAAGGCGGCUUUCUGGUCUGUAACUGACGCUGAGGCGCGAAAGCGUGGGGAGCAAACAGGAUUAGAUACCCUGGUAGUCCACGCCGUAAACGAUGAGUGCUAAGUGUUAGGGGGUUUCCGCCCCUUAGUGCUGCAGCUAACGCAUUAAGCACUCCGCCUGGGGAGUACGGCCGCAAAGGCUG